Molecule: ribosomal RNA, 872 nt
Filed under: uncultured Bacteroidota bacterium
Lineage: Bacteria; Pseudomonadati; Bacteroidota
Description: bacterial SSU rRNA
Rfam family: Bacterial small subunit ribosomal RNA
Source: RNAcentral
GAACGCUAGCGAUAGGCUUAACACAUGCAAGUCGAGGGGCAGCAUGGUCUUAGCUUGCUAAGACUGAUGGCGACCGGCGCACGGGUGCGUAACGCGUAUGCAACUUGCCUCACAGAGGGGGAUAACCCGUCGAAAGACGGACUAAUACCGCGUACACUCCAGCUUGGGCAUCCAGGCUAGAGGAAAUGAAAUUCGCUGUGAGAUAGGCAUGCGUCCCAUUAGCUAGUUGGUGAGGUAACGGCUCACCAAGGCGACGAUGGGUAGGGGAACUGAGAGGUUGAACCCCCACACUGGUACUGAGACACGGAUCAGACUCCUACGGGAGGCAGCAGUGAGGAAUAUUGGUCAAUGGGCGAGAGCCUGAACCAGCCAAGUCGCGUGAAGGAUGACUGUCUUAUGGAUUGUAAACUUCUUUUGUAGGGGAAUAAAGAAUGGUACGUGUACCAUAGUGAAUGUACCCUACGAAUAAGCAUCGGCUAACUCCGUGCCAGCAGCCGCGGUAAUACGGAGGGUGCGAGCGUUAUCCGGAUUUAUUGGGUUUAAAGGGUGCGUAGGCGGCCUGUUAAGUCAGCGGUGAAAUCUAGGGGCUUAACUCCUAAAUUGCCAUUGAUACUGGUGGGCUUGAGUGUAGAUGAGGUAGGCGGAAUGCGUGGUGUAGCGGUGGAAUGCAUAGAUAUCACGCAGAACUCCAAUUGCGAAGGCAGCUUACUAAGGUACAACUGACGCUGAAGCACGAAAGCGUGGGUAUCAAACAGGAUUAGAUACCCUGGUAGUCCACGCAGUAAACGAUGAUAACUGGGCGUAUGCGAUAUACAGUAUGCUCCUAAGCGAAAGCGUUAAGUUAUCCACCUGGGGAGUACGCCGGCAACGGU